GGUUAAGCGACUAAGCGUACACGGUGGAUGCCCUGGCAGUCAGAGGCGAUGAAGGGCGUGCUAAUCUGCGAUAAGCGCCGGUAAGGUGAUAUGAACCGUUAUAACCGGCGAUACCCGAAUGGGGAAACCCAGUGUGACUCGUCACACUAUCAUUAACUGAAUCCAUAGGUUAAUGAGGCGAACCGGGGGAACUGAAACAUCUAAGUACCCCGAGGAAAAGAAAUCAACCGAGAUUCCCCCAGUAGCGGCGAGCGAACGGGGAGGAGCCCAGAGCCUGAAUCAGCAUGUGUGUUAGUGGAAGCGUCUGGAAAGGCGCGCGAUACAGGGUGACAGCCCCGUACACAAAAGCGCAUGUGCUGUGAGCUCGAUGAGUAGGGCGGGACACGUGGUAUCCUGUCUGAAUAUGGGGGGACCAUCCUCCAAGGCUAAAUACUCCUGACUGACCGAUAGUGAACCAGUACCGUGAGGGAAAGGCGAAAAGAACCCCGGCGAGGGGAGUGAAAAAGAACCUGAAACCGUGUACGUACAAGCAGUGGGAGCACAGGUUUACCUGUGUGACUGCGUACCUUUUGUAUAAUGGGUCAGCGACUUAUAUUCUGUAGCAAGGUUAACCGAAUAGGGGAGCCGGAGGGAAACCGAGUCUUAAUUGGGCGUUAAGUUGCAGGGUAUAGACCCGAAACCCGGUGAUCUAGCCAUGGGCAGGUUGAAGGUUGGGUAACACUAACUGGAGGACCGAACCGACUAAUGUUGAAAAAUUAGCGGAUGACCUGUGGCUGGGGGUGAAAGGCCAAUCAAACCGGGAGAUAGCUGGUUCUCCCCGAAAGCUAUUUAGGUAGCGCCUCGUGAAUUCAUCUCCGGGGGUAGAGCACUGUUUCGGCUAGGGGGCCAUCCCGGCUUACCAACCCGAUGCAAACUGCGAAUACCGGAGAAUGUUAUCACGGGAGACACACGGCGGGUGCUAACGUCCGUCGUGAAGAGGGAAACAACCCAGACCGCCAGCUAAGGUCCCAAAGUCAUGGUUAAGUGGGAAACGAUGUGGGAAGGCCCAGACAGCCAGGAUGUUGGCUUAGAAGCAGCCAUCAUUUAAAGAAAGCGUAAUAGCUCACUGGUCGAGUCGGCCUGCGCGGAAGAUGUAACGGGGCUAAACCAUGCACCGAAGCUGCGGCAGCGAACGUAUCACUUAAAGCGAUUCAGCGGGUUACGAUUGACGGAGCGAAGCGACGUCAAAGCGUAUACAAAGUCGAGUCGGUUUAAGGAUACGUUCGUUGGGUAGGGGAGCGUUCUGUAAGCCUGCGAAGGUGGCCUGUGAGGGUUGCUGGAGGUAUCAGAAGUGCGAAUGCUGACAUAAGUAACGAUAAAGCGGGUGAAAAGCCCGCUCGCCGGAAGACCAAGGGUUCCUGUCCAACGUUAAUCGGGGCAGGGUGAGUCGACCCCUAAGGCGAGGCCGAAAGGCGUAGUCGAUGGGAAACGGGUUAAUAUUCCCGUACUUGGUGUUACUGCGAAGGGGGGACGGAGAAGGCUAUGUUGGCCGGGCGACGGUUGUCCCGGUUUAAGCGUGUAGGUGUGUGUUCCAGGUAAAUCCGGUUCACUUUAACACUGAGGCGUGAUGACGAGGCACUACGGUGCUGAAGCAACAAAUGCCCUGCUUCCAGGAAAAGCCUCUAAGCAUCAGGUAACAUCAAAUCGUACCCCAAACCGACACAGGUGGUCAGGUAGAGAAUACCAAGGCGCUUGAGAGAACUCGGGUGAAGGAACUAGGCAAAAUGGUGCCGUAACUUCGGGAGAAGGCACGCUGACACGUAGGUGAAGUGAUUUACUCAUGGAGCUGAAGUCAGUCGAAGAUACCAGCUGGCUGCAACUGUUUAUUAAAAACACAGCACUGUGCAAACACGAAAGUGGACGUAUACGGUGUGACGCCUGCCCGGUGCCGGAAGGUUAAUUGAUGGGGUCAGCGCAAGCGAAGCUCCUGAUCGAAGCCCCGGUAAACGGCGGCCGUAACUAUAACGGUCCUAAGGUAGCGAAAUUCCUUGUCGGGUAAGUUCCGACCUGCACGAAUGGCGUAAUGAUGGCCAGGCUGUCUCCACCCGAGACUCAGUGAAAUUGAACUCGCUGUGAAGAUGCAGUGUACCCGCGGCAAGACGGAAAGACCCCGUGAACCUUUACUAUAGCUUGACACUGAACAUUGAGCCUUGAUGUGUAGGAUAGGUGGGAGGCUUUGAAGUGUGGACGCCAGUCUGCAUGGAGCCGACCUUGAAAUACCACCCUUUAAUGUUUGAUGUUCUAACGUGGACCCGUAAUCCGGGUUGCGGACAGUGUCUGGUGGGUAGUUUGACUGGGGCGGUCUCCUCCUAAAGAGUAACGGAGGAGCACGAAGGUUGGCUAAUCCUGGUCGGACAUCAGGAGGUUAGUGCAAUGGCAUAAGCCAGCUUGACUGCGAGCGUGACGGCGCGAGCAGGUGCGAAAGCAGGUCAUAGUGAUCCGGUGGUUCUGAAUGGAAGGGCCAUCGCUCAACGGAUAAAAGGUACUCCGGGGAUAACAGGCUGAUACCGCCCAAGAGUUCAUAUCGACGGCGGUGUUUGGCACCUCGAUGUCGGCUCAUCACAUCCUGGGGCUGAAGUAGGUCCCAAGGGUAUGGCUGUUCGCCAUUUAAAGUGGUACGCGAGCUGGGUUUAGAACGUCGUGAGACAGUUCGGUCCCUAUCUGCCGUGGGCGCUGGAGAACUGAGGGGGGCUGCUCCUAGUACGAGAGGACCGGAGUGGACGCAUCACUGGUGUUCGGGUUGUCAUGCCAAUGGCACUGCCCGGUAGCUAAAUGCGGAAGAGAUAAGUGCUGAAAGCAUCUAAGCACGAAACUUGCCCCGAGAUGAGUUCUCCCUGAGACUUAGAGUCUCCUGAAGGAACGUUGAAGACGACGACGUUGAUAGGCCGGGUGUGUAAGCGCAGCGAUGCGUUGAGCUAACCGGUACUAAUGAACCGUGAGGCUUAACCUU
This 2989-nucleotide ribosomal RNA is filed under the name Salmonella enterica. RNAcentral describes it as "23S ribosomal RNA". It matches the Rfam family "Bacterial large subunit ribosomal RNA". Lineage: Bacteria; Pseudomonadati; Pseudomonadota; Gammaproteobacteria; Enterobacterales; Enterobacteriaceae. The record is from RNAcentral. RNAcentral also lists the same sequence under 1 other name.